RNAcentral lists this long non-coding RNA (201 nucleotides) under Prunus persica (peach). Its description in RNAcentral is "long non-coding RNA (PPER_LNC004178)". The record is from RNAcentral. Lineage: Eukaryota; Viridiplantae; Streptophyta; Magnoliopsida; Rosales; Rosaceae.
GAAUUCCCUUUGCGUCUGUGCUUUGUGUUUUUUUUUCUUUCAUUUUUUCCAUUACAUCGAUAUGUUCAAUAUUUUUAAUAUUAUAGCGAUAUUUUGACAAAAUAUUGCUGAAGUGUGAGCGAAAUUAUCAACAUCGAUAUUUUCCGAUAUUAUUGACAUCGAUAUUUAUACAAUAUGUGUAUGGAUACGUUUCAAAAUAUU